CCUGGAUCGGCACGACAAAGAGGGCAGAGAUAUUUUUUCUUAAAUAAUCUAAGCGAUUCUGCGCAACAGCGAUAGUCUAGCACAGACAAAAAUAAUAAUUCCAUUUCGUACGUUCAAGGGACCGCAGAAGGAGCUGGAGGGUCUGUAUGCCGUUUGGACGUGAGGAACGCUCCCCGUGGCCCAUCGCAUACACACCCCCUUGGCUUCCAGUGGGUCUACGUAGAACACACCGCCCUUGCACCGAAAGGAUCAGUGCAGUCAUGUCUCAAGUUGAACCCGACUUAUAGCGACCCUCGAGAGCUUUUGAGUGAAAUUGACGCACAAGAAGGAGAAGUGGACCCUAGAGGAACAGCCGGCUUGAAAAGGUUGGAAAAAUGGAAAACACUUUCUCGGAGAGCAGGUCACAGACAGCGAGAUGCGCGUAUGAGUCAAGGCGCCGGGGCCUCAGCUGGUUUCCUGUUGUGCAUUGUGUGCAUAAAAAUCCUAUAAGCAGAAUCUUUGCUAUUUGUCAGUGGCUUGAUCGGUCCUCCAAGGAUGAGAAUCUGUAGCUCCUUCUCCAGGGGGACAGUGGUAUCAUCUUGACGUCA
Pogona vitticeps (central bearded dragon) is the source of this 587-nucleotide non-coding RNA. The record is from RefSeq and is a predicted model, not a curated record. Lineage: Eukaryota; Metazoa; Chordata; Lepidosauria; Squamata; Agamidae.